GGAGGUGUUUAGUGUCUGGUGAUGCUUGCAGUCUUCAAAACUGUCGAGGGGCUGAUAAGGUCCUUGGUGGGUUCGAUUCCCAUACACCUCCGCCA
RNAcentral lists this transfer RNA (95 nucleotides) under Candidatus Omnitrophota bacterium. RNAcentral describes it as "Candidatus Omnitrophica bacterium (sediment metagenome) tRNA-Sec". It matches the Rfam family "Selenocysteine transfer RNA". The record is from RNAcentral. Lineage: Bacteria; Pseudomonadati; Candidatus Omnitrophota.